UGGGAAUACUGUCUGAAAUAAAUGUGUCUGGGCACAUUGGUAUUGCCGGAUAACACGAGCAGAUUUUCAAACAGAUCCAAAUGCAUGUGGACCUCAGCGCACUCCUGAAAACUACCAAUCUGCAGUAGACAUUUUACAGUCUGAGGGACAACAAAACGUUGAAGAAAUGGAUGAUUCAGAGCUAAACAUUUCAAACAUUAG
This is a long non-coding RNA of Puntigrus tetrazona (Sumatra barb), 201 nucleotides long. RefSeq lists it as uncharacterized. The transcript is spliced from 3 exons. NCBI's taxonomy places the organism in Eukaryota, Metazoa, Chordata, Actinopteri, Cypriniformes, Cyprinidae. The record is from RefSeq and is a predicted model, not a curated record.